CCUGGCGGCACUAGCGCGGUGGUCCCACAUGACCCCAUGCCGAACUCAGAAGUGAAACGCCGUAGCGCCGAUGGUAGUGUGGGGUCUCCCCAUGCGAGAGUAGGGAACUGCCAGGC
RNAcentral lists this ribosomal RNA (116 nucleotides) under Salmonella enterica. The record is from RNAcentral. Lineage: Bacteria; Pseudomonadati; Pseudomonadota; Gammaproteobacteria; Enterobacterales; Enterobacteriaceae.